RNAcentral lists this ribosomal RNA (1533 nucleotides) under uncultured bacterium. RNAcentral describes it as "16S ribosomal RNA". It matches the Rfam family "Bacterial small subunit ribosomal RNA". The record is from RNAcentral.
AGAGUUUGAUCCUGGCUCAGGACGAACGCUGGCGGCGUGCCUAAUACAUGCAAGUCGAACGAACUCUGGUAUUGAUUGGUGCUUGCAUCAUGAUUUACAUUUGAGUGAGUGGCGAACUGGUGAGUAACACGUGGGAAACCUGCCCAGAAGCGGGGGAUAACACCUGGAAACAGAUGCUAAUACCGCAUAACAACUUGGACCGCAUGGUCCGAGCUUGAAAGAUGGCUUCGGCUAUCACUUUUGGAUGGUCCCGCGGCGUAUUAGCUAGAUGGUGGGGUAAUGGCUCACCAUGGCAAUGAUACGUAGCCGACCUGAGAGGGUAAUCGGCCACAUUGGGACUGAGACACGGCCCAAACUCCUACGGGAGGCAGCAGUAGGGAAUCUUCCACAAUGGACGAAAGUCUGAUGGAGCAACGCCGCGUGAGUGAAGAAGGGUUUCGGCUCGUAAAACUCUGUUGUUAAAGAAGAACAUAUCUGAGAGUAACUGUUCAGGUAUUGACGGUAUUUAACCAGAAAGCCACGGCUAACUACGUGCCAGCAGCCGCGGUAAUACGUAGGUGGCAAGCGUUGUCCGGAUUUAUUGGGCGUAAAGCGAGCGCAGGCGGUUUUUUAAGUCUGAUGUGAAAGCCUUCGGCUCAACCGAAGAAGUGCAUCGGAAACUGGGAAACUUGAGUGCAGAAGAGGACAGUGGAACUCCAUGUGUAGUGGUGAAAUGCGUAGAUAUAUGGAAGAACACCAGUGGCGAAAGCACCUAUUUGGACAUGUACUGACGCUAAGGCUCGAAAGUGUGGGGAGCAAAACGGAUUAGAUACCCGUGUAGUCCACACCGUAAACGAUCCCUGUUAGAUGUUCGAAAUUUGCUGAAAUUUCUCUUCGGAGAAGGAUAAGCACUUUUUGAGUGUCGCAGCUAACGCGUUAAACAGGGCGCCUGUGAAGUACGACCGCAAGGUUAAAACACAAAGGAAUUGACGGGGACCCGCACAAGCAGUGGAGUGCCUGGUUUAAUUCGAUGAUCAACGAAGAACCUCACCUGGGCUUGAACUGUGGCUGCUAAUCCUAUGAAAGUAGGACUCUUUCGAAGGUGCCACAGAGGUGAUGCAUGGCUGUCGUAAGCUCGUGUCGUGAGAUGUCGGGUUAAGUCCCACAACGAGCGCAACCCCUUUCAGAUGUUACAAUUACUUCUGAUACUGCCCCGCCAAAACGGGGAGGAAGGAGGGGAUGACGUCCAGUCAUCAUGUCCCUUAUGUCCAGGGCUACACAGACACUACAAUGGCGAUAACAAUGGGUUGCCAAGCCGCAAGGCGGAGCUAAUCCCAUCAAAGAUCGUCUCAGUUCAGAUUGCAGGCUGCAACUCGCCUGUAUGAAGUUGGAAUUGCUAGUAAUCGGAAAUCAGCGUGUUCCGGUGAAUACGUUCUCGGGUCUUGUACACACCGCCCGUCAGGGCAUGGGAGUUGCUCAUACUCGAAGUCUACGUUUAUCGUGGCCGAAAGUUAUGGGUGGCGACUGGGCUUAAGUCGUAACAAGGUAACCGUA